CCUACGGGAGGCAGCAGCAAGGAAUUUUCCGCAAUGGGCGAAAGCCUGACGGAGCAACGCCGCGUGGGGGAGGACGCUUUUCGGAGUGUAAACCUCUUUUCUUGGGGACGACGAACGACGGUACCCGAGGAAUAAGGACCGGCUAACUACGUGCCAGCAGCCGCGGUAAUACGUAGGGUCCGAGCGUUGUCCGGAGUUACUGGGCGUAAAGCGCGCGCAGGCGGCUUGAUAAGUCUGGCGUGAAAGCCCCCGGCUCAACCGGGGAGGGUCGUCGGAGACUGUGAAGCUUGAGGGCGGUAGGGGCUGGUGGAAUUCCCGGUGUAGUGGUGAAAUGCGUAGAGAUCGGGAGGAACACCUGUGGCGAAGGCGGCCAGCUGGGCCGACCCUGACGCUGAGGCGCGAAGGCGUGGGGAGCGAACGGGAUUAGAUACCCCGGUAGUCCACGCAGUAAACGAUGCAGACUAGGCGUGGGGGGACUUGACCCCCUCCGUGCCGGAGCUAACGCGGUAAGUCUGCCGCCUGGGGAGUACGGCCGCAGCUAACUACAAGAAGUAG
Molecule: ribosomal RNA, 555 nt
Filed under: uncultured bacterium
Lineage: Bacteria
Description: bacterial SSU rRNA
Rfam family: Bacterial small subunit ribosomal RNA
Source: RNAcentral